This 497-nucleotide ribosomal RNA is filed under the name uncultured bacterium. RNAcentral's name for it is "partial 16S ribosomal RNA". It matches the Rfam family "Bacterial small subunit ribosomal RNA", at positions 28 to 507 of the family's 1533-position model. The record is from RNAcentral.
GAUGAACGCUGGCGGCGUGCCUAAUACAUGCAAGUCGAGCGAACAGACGAGGAGCUUGCUCCUCUGACGUUAGCGGCGGACGGGUGAGUAACACGUGGAUAACCUACCUAUAAGACUGGGAUAACUUCGGGAAACCGGAGCUAAUACCGGAUAAUAUAUUGAACCGCAUGGUUCAAUAGUGAAAGACGGUUUUGCUGUCACUUCUAGCUGGAUCCGCGCCGCAUUAGCUAGUUGGUAAGGUGACGGCUUACCAAGGCAACGAUGCGUAGCCGACCUGAGAGGGUGAUCGGCCACACGGGAACUGGGACGCGGUCCAGACUCCUACGAGAGGCAGCAGUAGGGAAUCGGACGCAAUGGGCGAGAGCCUGACGGAGCAGCGCCGCGUGAAUGAUGAAGGUCUUCGGAGCGUAAAACUCUGUUAUGAGGGAAGAACAAAUGUGUAAGUAACUAUGCACGUCUUGACGGUACCUAAUCAGAAAGCCACGGCUAACUACGUG